UGAGGCAGGAGAAUUGCUUGAACCCAGGAGGUGGAGGCUGCAGUGAGCUGAGAUCAAGCCACUGCACUCCAGCCUGGGUGACAGAGCAAGACUCCA
This 96-nucleotide microRNA precursor is filed under the name Mandrillus leucophaeus (drill). RNAcentral describes it as "miRNA (ENSMLEG00000007658.1)". Lineage: Eukaryota; Metazoa; Chordata; Mammalia; Primates; Cercopithecidae. The record is from RNAcentral.